GAGGGUAUAAGCUCAGCGGUAGAGCACAAGCUUAGCAUGCAUGAGGUCCUGGGUUCAGUCCCCAGUACCUCCA
This 73-nucleotide transfer RNA is filed under the name Camelus bactrianus (Bactrian camel). It matches the Rfam family "tRNA". Rfam says of the family: Transfer RNA (tRNA) molecules are approximately 80 nucleotides in length. Their secondary structure includes four short double-helical elements and three loops (D, anti-codon, and T loops). The record is from Rfam by way of RNAcentral. Lineage: Eukaryota; Metazoa; Chordata; Mammalia; Artiodactyla; Camelidae. RNAcentral also lists the same sequence under 2 other names.